This 421-nucleotide ribosomal RNA is filed under the name uncultured bacterium. RNAcentral's name for it is "bacterial SSU rRNA". It matches the Rfam family "Bacterial small subunit ribosomal RNA", at positions 355 to 774 of the family's 1533-position model. The record is from RNAcentral.
UAGGGAAUCUUCCACAAUGGGCGAAAGCCUGAUGGAGCAACGCCGCGUGAGUGAUGAAGGUUUUCGGAUCGUAAAACUCUGUUGUUAGGGAAGAACACCCGAGAGAGGAUCUCGGACUGACGGUACCUAACGAGAAAGCCCCGGCUAACUACGUGCCAGCAGCCGCGGUAAUACGUAGGGGGCGAGCGUUGUCCGGAUUUACUGGGCGUAAAGGGUGAGUAGGCGGUAAUAUGUGUCAGAUGUAAAAGGCUAUGGCUUAACCAUAGUUGGCAUUUGAAACUGUAUUACUUGAGUGCAGGAGAGGUAAGUGGAAUUCCUAGUGUAGCGGUGAAAUGCGUAGAUAUUAGGAGGAACACCAGUGGCGAAGGCGACUUACUGGACUGUAACUGACGCUGAGUCACGAAAGCGUGGGUAGCAAACA